Molecule: ribosomal RNA, 404 nt
Filed under: Verrucomicrobiota bacterium
Lineage: Bacteria; Pseudomonadati; Verrucomicrobiota
Description: Verrucomicrobia bacterium partial 16S ribosomal RNA
Rfam family: Bacterial small subunit ribosomal RNA
Source: RNAcentral
UGGGGAAUAUUGCACAAUGGGGGAAACCCUGAUGCAGCGACGCCGCGUGAGCGAUGAAGGCUUUCGAGUCGUAAAGCUCUGUCCUAUGGGAAGAUAAUGACGGUACCUAACCAGAAAGCCACGGCUAACUACGUGCCAGCAGCCGCGGUAAUACGUAGGUGGCAAGCGUUGUCCGGAAUUAUUGGGCGUAAAGCGCGCGCAGGUGGUUUAGAAAGUCUGAUGUGAAAGCCCACGGCUCAACCGUGGAGGGUCAUUGGAAACUAAUAAACUUGAGUGCAGGAGAGAAAAGUGGAAUUCCUAGUGUAGCGGUGAAAUGCGUAGAGAUUAGGAGGAACACCGGUGGCGAAAGCGGCUUUUUGGCCUGCAACUGACACUGAGGCGCGAAAGCGUGGGGAGCAAACAGG